CUACGGGAGGCUGCAGUGGGGAAUAUUGCACAAUGGGCGCAAGCCUGAUGCAGCCAUGCCGCGUGUGUGAAGAAGGCCUUCGGGUUGUAAAGCACUUUCAGCGGGGAGGAAGGCGGUGAGGUUAAUAACCUCAUCGAUUGACGUUACCCGCAGGAGAAGCACCGGCUAACUCCGUGCCAGCAGCCGCGGUAAUACGGAGGGUGCAAGCGUUAAUCGGAAUUACUUGGCGUAAAGCGCACGCAGGCGGUCUGUCAAGUCGGAUGUGAAAUCCCCGGGCUCAACCUGGGAACUGCACUCGAAACUGGCAGGCUAGAGUCUUGUAGAGGGGGGUAGAAUUCCAGGUGUAGCGGUGAAAUGCGUAGAGAUCUGGAGGAAUACCGGUGGCGAAGGCGGCCCCCUGGACAAAGACUGACGCUCAGGUGCGAAAGCGUGGGGAGCAAACAGGAUUAGAUACCCCAGUAGUC
RNAcentral lists this ribosomal RNA (464 nucleotides) under uncultured Klebsiella sp. Its description in RNAcentral is "bacterial SSU rRNA". It matches the Rfam family "Bacterial small subunit ribosomal RNA", at positions 339 to 795 of the family's 1533-position model. The record is from RNAcentral. Lineage: Bacteria; Pseudomonadati; Pseudomonadota; Gammaproteobacteria; Enterobacterales; Enterobacteriaceae.